AUUGAACGCUGGCGGCAGGCUUAACACAUGCAAGUCGAGCGGAGAGAGGUAGCUUGCUACUGAUCUUAGCGGCGGACGGGUGAGUAAUGCUUAGGAAUCUGCCUAUUAGUGGGGGACAACAUUUCGAAAGGAAUGCUAAUACCGCAUACGUCCUACGGGAGAAAGCAGGGGAUCUUCGGACCUUGCGCUAAUAGAUGAGCCUAAGUCGGAUUAGCUAGUUGGUGGGGUAAAGGCCUACCAAGGCGACGAUCUGUAGCGGGUCUGAGAGGAUGAUCCGCCACACUGGGACUGAGACACGGCCCAGACUCCUACGGGAGGCAGCAGUGGGGAAUAUUGGACAAUGGGCGGAGGCCUGAUCCAGCCAUGCCGCGUGUGUGAAGAAGGCCUUAUGGUUGUAAAGCACUUUAAGCGAGGAGGAGGCUACUUUAGUUAAUACCUAGAGAUAGUGGACGUUACUCGCAGAAUAAGCACCGGCUAACUCUGUGCCAGCAGCCGCAGUAA
This 501-nucleotide ribosomal RNA is filed under the name uncultured bacterium. RNAcentral describes it as "partial 16S ribosomal RNA". It matches the Rfam family "Bacterial small subunit ribosomal RNA", at positions 30 to 523 of the family's 1533-position model. The record is from RNAcentral.